CUACAUUGGCUGGUUUUUGGUUGUUUUUUAACCAGAAAAUUACAUUAUAAUCAAGUUUAGUUCCAUUGUCUUCAUCAAUUGUCUCAAUUUUUGCCUUGUUUUUAUAUCUUUUAUUGAAAUAAGGAUAGUAAUGAACGGCAUGGCAAAUGUAGCAACAUGUUUACGGGAAAAACAACAGCAGCAUCUAAAGGGAAUACCAAGUUAACCAAGUAAAAGGUAAAUCAAGAGGAUUGCAGCCGCUAAAGAUGAAAGGCCUGAUAUGAAAUAAUACCCAUAGUUAAAGCUAAUGAAUCAAUACCAGUUGAACCAGCAUAAUUAAUUUGAACGCCUAAAUGGUUAAUGGUAAACCUUGAUGUAUAUGUAUACCUACCUACCUAACCGUACCGAUCAACAUAAAUAUGGAUCAAUAUAAAUGGCAGAUCAAUCUUGGAGUAUAUACUAAAACAACAACAUGAUCAUCAACAACCUUGAUCAAGUUACUCACUCUCGUCUCUGUGUUUGUCUAUUGUUUGAACCAUUUGAUAAGGAACCAGGAGAAUCAAGAGGUCGAGAGGUAAACCUAGGAGAGUGAGAGGGUCAGGUCACCUUUAUUGCUCGUGUGGAUGCUCAACACCGUCAAGCAAGCUUAUAUCCAAAGGCAGGUGAUUUUGUAUUUCUACAAACACUUCCCCUCACUUUCAUUACAAGGUUUUCAUCAUCACCAUCUACAUCUACAUCAUCAUCAUCAAAAGGAGAUCAAUUCGAGGGGAGAGAAAAGGCUGUUUCUCUGGUUGAGCCUGUUUAACGGAUGCUUAUGAAAAUUGCGAGGGAGAGUAAGUCCCUUCUUGUACCGGGUGUUAUUAUUUCCUCUGAAGGCACGCUUAUACGCUAUUCGCACGCAGGUUGUCUUACUCUCUCACCAUCUCUGUGUCUUUUCUCGUUCUCUCUCUCUCACACACACAGACAUCUUUUAUUACCAGCACCAUCAACAAUAACAACAUUAACAAUUGACAAUUGUAGAUUGUGGCGCGUGCAAUUGUACUUCACAAUUUAAUACAUUAUCACUAAAACCAAUGUAUUUUCAUUCGUUUGACUAUUAAUUCAUCCAAUUUUAACAUUUCUCUUAUUUUCAAUUGUCAGUAUUUUUCGACCUUCUUCGAUUUCUUUACCAUACAAGUAUUAGAACUGGCUAUUGUUACCCAUUUUUAUCAAGAGCACUUUAUUACCCUUUUUUCAGUAAAAUCAUUAUACCAUGCUAAUAAUUAUGUAUUUAGUUCAGUAUCGGCAAUUUUUCAGCAAUUGAUUUUUUUUGCUUAACAAGAUUGUAAUCAAAUAUGGUUAAUAUUUGUGAUUCAAUUCAGGUUUAUAUUCGGCGCUUCAAUUUCCCUUUCAAGCUAUUGGCAGUUAAUUAUUUUUACGUUUCCGCUUUUAGCUUUCUUUAAUGAAGCUUCAAAUUCAACACGAUUUUUUAAGGCUUUUUUUGUUUUCCUUGUUCUUUCCUAUUCUUUUAACCUCUCGUUUCAUCCCUAUUCACAUGCUUACCUGGCUUGUAAGAUGUCUACGUGAAUUUAUCUUACCUUCAGAGGCUUUUUACCCAAAGGCUGAUAUUUUGCUGUCAAUGAUGAGCUCAAUAUAGCAGUUGUUGCUUUUUGCUGUUACAUCUUUUUGCUUCCUCUUCUUAUGCUGUUUUUUUUGCUGCCUUCUUCAUCUUGCUUGUUGUUCGUUUUCUUCUUGAACUUAACAUCUUCUCACCUGUCCGAGUGAUGGUUGCCUGUCUUUAAGAAGCAACUUGGCUUGAACUAGCCUUCAUCAUUAUCAUCACCAUCACCAACCAUCAUCAUCAUCAACAUCAUUUUCGUCUUUCGGUAACCAUGUUUCAACCUGCCAAGACGAUUGAUGUAAACUGAAACAAACGUUCAAUGAUAAUUUGACUAUGUGUUUAUCCUCUGUCCUUUCCGAAGGUUCAUCUCUUUUUUGUCAAUUGUGAUGACGGAGGGUCAAUUAAGGGGUUCGCCAAUGGUUAUUAGUGCUAGCAUGGAGAUACAUUUUGAGCUAUUUUUUUACCACACACAGAUUCACAGUAAUUUCAAACAGUAGAUGAAAAUUGUUUCCAUCAAAACGCGAAAUGUUAUGAUGAAAUGAUUCAAAUGAUGUCUAUCCAAAUAGAUGCUCAUUUGUCUGUCAACAUUAUUUCAAAUCAAUCAAAGUAAAAUCAAUUUGAAACUAUCAUAUUCAAUUAAACAGAGCUACAAUUACAAUCAUCAACUGCACCAAAAACAUUAGCAGACAACAGGAAAGUGAGGAGAACCAUCUUAACGUUAAAUAUCUUUCAGAAUCACCAACAUAAGCUAUAAAUAUCCAGACAAAUCAAAUCUUUGAACAAUCACCAUUCGGAUUCAUUUUUCAAUUCAAUGACAUUUCCAACGUGAGAAUCGCUGUUAAUCAAAACCAUUGGCUGACCAAUACUAAAACCAAUCUUGGAAGGAUAACAAAUGGAAUCAAUCUUCCCAUUGUAGUCUUGGUCAUUUCAGCAUUUUCAUCAUUACUGUAAAAAGGAAACUGGACAAUCAUUAGUCAACUUUUUGUCUAAAACCAAUGUCCAGUAUGGAGAGAGAAGUCUUUUACUGUUUUAAGGUUUCUCCUUGGCCACCUUUUUACUUUCAUUUGUGUCCUGUCAUUUAACCAUUAAUAAUCACUAAUUUUAACACCCUACUGACACCCAUAAAGUGACCGGAAACUCAAGACAAAGUAAAUCAUUAAUUGCAAACAAAACAAAAACAAUAACAGCAACAACAACUUCAACAACAAUGGCCAAUGAUAACUGGAAGCAAAUAAAACAAGAGGAAACACAAGCGGUAAAAAGUACCAUUAAAUCGCAAAUGAGAGCAAGAUGAUUGGAGAGGCAAUUUACCUUUUCUUGUGUGAAUAUAAUCAACUUUAAUCAAUCCAACGAUAAUCAGAUUAUUGUUUCAAUACUGGUUAAUCGCCAUGGAAUGGCAAGUAAUACAGCUCCAUAUGUACAUAUCAACCGGCCUACAAACAAUGAAUGUUAUGUGUUAACAUGGACAAGGAAGACAACGAUAACAUGUAUUGGUUGAUUGUGAUGACUGUUCAAGGAAAUGAUAAAACAUAAUCUCAAGGAAGUAAUUUGAUUGUAAAAAGCUAUUGAAGGAACCAAAAUAAAAAGGUUAACCUGAGAAGCAGAUUGUUGAUUACCAAAAUAUAUUGGAUGAGAAUCACUUGUAACCCAUGAAGAUGAUCACCAGCGUUUUGUCCUCCUUUCAAUGUUAUGCCAAUGAUAUGGAAACCUUUACAUAUUCAACUGAUUAUUGCAUUAAUAUGUUGUUUCAUUAGCAUAUUAUAAAUACAUAUUAUUACAUAUUAUUACAAUGUACCAUCAUCAUCGUCAUCAUUAUCAGUGCAGGUCACCCUUUCCAACAUAAGGACUUUGGGUUAUCUUCGUUUUUGGGAAACAGUUAGGUCAAUUGUAUUGUACACUUAUGGGAAUUUGUGCAGGACAAAUAUUACUGUCAAAGGUUAUUGUGAAGACACCGAGAAAAGACGAUCUUAUUGUUCCCAUCUAUGAUCGAUUGGUAUCAUCAUCACUGUAAUCAUUUUUAAUCAUUGAUCAAUCACACCAUCGAUUAAGGUUAAUGCAGCAUUAGACCAGAGUUGCGUUCAUUGACAAUUAUAACAUUUCGAUAUUUUGACUUCAAUUUCCGAUAUGCAUUGUAAACAAAGGAUUGGGAGAUACAUUUAAAAUUACCUUUUUUUUAUAUUGAAUCAUAAAAAGGAUAAGGUUAGUGGGAGGUAGAAGAAUAGAUUUGAUGUACAACAAGAGUAGGGACAGAAGUUUUUAUAAACUGGGUCAUCUUCAGUCAAGAAAAGAGCAAAGGUGUUUUCAUUGUUUCGUUUUUUUUGACCAGACCAGUAACUUUGUGCUAUUAUACUCGUGGUACGUGCAAUUGACGCGUGCCACGAAGGGAGAGAGCGAGCGACUGGUGGACCAAGAGUGACCAGUUAUAAGGAGGAAAAGGGAGGUAAAGGGAUAAGUUAACAGAGUGUGUGAGAGAGAAUGAGAGGAACUGUACUUUCUCUGGUUCUACAUCCAUUUUACUCUUUCGACCGUCACAAGACCGAAAGAGUUUUAAAGCCUGUAUUAACUGUUUACUCCUGUUAAGGCUCAACUGUUUAUCCUAGCUUGACCUUUAACAAUCCGUUGACCUCGUACGUGGCCAUUCAGAGACUAGUAACAAGGUACAAGAGAAAGGGAAAGAGAGAAAAAAAGUCUUUCUUUUUUCCUAUCCACUUAUUCUUUGUCAUCUUUUCCUUCAAUGAAGUGUCCAUAGAGCUUUGUCCAUUGCCUGUGGGUCACUUACAAGUUGCUUGUACCUUCAUGACACCGUGAAAACAAAAGAUAAGUCUUUCAAUAUAACGAUACUGACUCAUUUAACAAUUUAAAAAUUGACCACAACAGACAAAAAAAACUAGAAACAGUUGUCUAACAAGUCAGACAAAUUGUAAAACAUAAGAUACUUUUUUUGUUUAGCCAAAAGCCGAUCUCAAUUAACAAAAGACCCCUUUUGUAAAAAAGGAAAGCAAAAAUUGUAUUGUUUUGUUUAACAAAUGAUUUUUUUCUAGUUUGCUUUAAGCUAAAUAUGUGCCACUUGUAAUAAAGUGCUGGUCGUUUCUCAACCUGUUUAAAAUACUUGGUAAAAAGUGUCCUGAGUUUUACUGGCAACAUUUUCAACAAUUAACAUCGACUCAAUGUUGAGCAUUGCUACUUAAAUCUACUGAUGCCAUUAUUGAGUGAAAGGAGAAUCUCGCUAUGCAUAAAGUUUGCUUUUUUUCUGGUCAAACAGUCAACUAUUUACAGAUGAAUUAAUUCCAACCAUUCUCUAUGCUGCUGCUGCUGCCGCUGCCGAUGAUGAUAUUGAUAAUGAUGCUACUUGAUAAAGAUGAGGAAAAGAUGAGAAAAUGACCGUGAUGAAGAGACAAUAUUCUCACGGUUUAAUAUGUUUGCAUUGUAUUUAAUAUGAAUCACUCUGAUUACUCCCCGAAAGUCUAUGGCCAAAAUAAGUUCACAUAAAGAUCGUUAUGGACCAUCGAUUAGGCUUCAAUUAGCAUAAAAUAAUUUUCAAUCAUUGGUAUCUUCUAUGAUAAUAACAACAACAACAAAAAAACAAGACAAUUGAACUAAAAACAUUGAGCUUAAAUUUGAUUCAACUAAGCGUUGAGCCAAGAGUGAUCAUCAAAAAUUGAAUACAUCAAGACGGAAACAAGGUAACAUGGAUAAUAGUAUAAAAUUAAGCAGAUAAAUGAUUGUAACUACAACUUCCGAUAGAUGUCUGGUGUUGGUAGCUAAAAAUGUAGAUCAACAAACACAAAAAAACAACAACUGAUGUAAUGGUGAUUGGUAAUUACAUGUAAAAACCAUUAAUGUUAACAAUCAAUGAUUACAUCAAGUUGGAUCGAUAAUAUUGUCUUUAAACGUUAUCAUUGUCAUUUCCGUUAAAGCCUUAUUUUGCGCUUGUCAAGCCUUUUCCCGUUCAUUUUUACCUCUCGAUGGACAUCAUUCAAAAUUAUCAUCCUUCUCAUUACCAUCCUAAACAUCAUCAUGGACAACAACAUCAACAGCAAACGUGUCUGAUUGACCGUGCUACCCUACCUUUGACCUGCAAAAGGAGCCAGUAAAGCAAAAAACAAGCCUAGUUAAUUCAAUGGUAAAGCUUAACAUUGGUAACUUUUCUGGGGAUCAACAACCACAUGGUCAUUGGCAUCAUAUUGAUUGUAGUUGAUUAGUUAACCAAGAACAAGAGUAACUGCGAUUAAUAUUGUGGUGUGUCUGUUGUGGUUAGUGGGAUGAAUCGGAGGUACAUAACCAAUGGACCUUUCAAUUAGUAGGAAUUCAACUUUUUUUUUCAAGUAAAAGACGAUGAUAAUGUAUUACUGUUAAAAAAAGAUAGAGAAAUAUAGAAAAACUUGAACCUUUUUUUUUGUGGCUCUUUCUGUGGAUAAGAAGAGGGAAAAACAGCAAAAAUUUUAAGAUGGUGAUGAUGAUAGGGAUAGAGGAUAAAGAAGAUGACGGCAAAGAGCAUUUGGAUAACGGCAAGAUGUAAAAUUCACAGAGCGCAUCAACAUCAUCAAGAACAACAGGUUUCAAGGGUGAUGUUAAAAUGUCUGGUUAACCUUUUGCCACGCGAAUUGAGAGUUUAUUUUCAAACUAUUAUAUUAUCAUCAUUCAAAGGUUAAUUUAACGUUGGUUUCCACACAUCAAUUUACAAUGUGAUUAAUGUUAACAUAUUAAUGAACCCAGCGAGUUACAUUCAAUUAAUAAUAAAGGUUACAUCAACCUAGAUAUCAGCCGAAAAUGCGAAGAGCUGAUUAUUUUAAGACAUAAAAACCAAGCAGCCGAAAAGCUGAAAGCAUAGAAAGCAUAUUCAAAAUGUGAUUUGUAUAAAUUGGCGAGUCAAGUUUUUUCAUUAAAUUAUAUAUUUUUUUUGCUUAAUUUGUGAUUCUAAUUUAUUUAUUGUUCCCUUAAUCAAUAAGAUUUGACCAAAUUUAAAUUGUUUACCUUAUCCAAGGAUAAAGACUGCAACAGAUGACUGUAUUAACUUUAAUGUUCAUAGUUUCCUUUUAUCAACUGUUUGCUUUAGUCUUAAGGAUUGUUAAUCCUACAUAUUGCAGCCAAGUCAACAAUUAAAUAACACCUUUACCUCCAUCUUUAUCAUCAUCUGGAUUAACAAUUGUAUGGAAGCUAAUAUAAAUGGCAAUGCAUAGUGAAAUAAUCUCAAUUGUCCAGUUAAUUAAUGUCUAUUUGAUUUCGCCUUACUAUACUGUUGGUUUUCAGCAAGAGCAACUGUAACCCAGUUGUGAAUGUUACUGUUCACACGAUCACCAUAAAUGUGAUGAUCAUUGAAGCACAACAUAUUCACACACAUAAACUUGAUACAAGAAUAAAGUGAAACAGUAACAUUUUACUAAUAAUGAACUUAUUUUAUAAUAUAAUCAAACAAAACAAAAAAAACAAGAAACAAAAAAACCAUUGGCUCACUUCAUUUGUCUAUACAUGUAUGGAUAUGUUAUGGUGUAGGAGCAGAUAAUGAAGUACACAUGGGAAAAUGGUCAACUUGAAAAGUCUUAACCUGCAUCUAAGCGAACAGGGAACGAGCCAAGGAGACCGAAAGAGUAAUCAACUAACCAAGUGCCUUGAUUGUUCCAGGUGGAAAUAUUUACCUCAAGCAAUAAUAAACUUUGGGGACACUUUGCAUUCACAUAUACACAAUGUUGUCGUAGUGACUGUUACCAAGGAUAAUCAUCGCUAUCACCAUCAACAUCAUAAUCAUCAUCAAAAGACGACUGCAGCAGCAAAAGAAACAGCAAGCAUGGAGAAACUCAGAAAGUAAAAAUAUUAUCUUUUAAUGAUAAAAAAUUGAAGCAGAAGGAAGCAACAGUUGACUGUUAACUGUUAGCGAUCAACAAAAAUGAUAAACACACUAACUUUGCAGUUGGCAUCUUGGAUGAUAAUAAUAAUGGUGAUGAUAAAAAAGUAAUCAGAACGUGUCACCAGAUGAAACCUGUUGAUUGCAUAUGUUGAUGAUCAAGUUCACCAUCAAUUUUCAUUUUCACAUGUCUUUUCAGGCUCACGCUCUCUCUCUCCUAUCUCACUGGCUCACCAUCAUAAUCUUAUUUCAAUUGUUAAUUAUUAGUUGCAAUCAUUGAUUAUCCAUGUAUUAUACAUAGCAGGUUUAUUCCCUUAUUGCUGCAAUUGUCCAUCCACGAUGAUGUUGAUGGUGGUAAUGAUGAUGUUGAUCAUUUUGCAUUGAUAUCGAUGUCUUCAAGGCUGGAAUAAGUCGUUCAACAAGUCAAAAAACAAG
Tetranychus urticae (two-spotted spider mite) is the source of this 7856-nucleotide non-coding RNA. The record is from RefSeq and is a predicted model, not a curated record. Lineage: Eukaryota; Metazoa; Arthropoda; Arachnida; Trombidiformes; Tetranychidae.